UGGAGGGAGAUCGUUAAUGGAUAGCUUGAAGAGGAGGAAGAGAGGAGGUGAUUAAUCAGAGAGAAGGGAGGAAGAGGAUGAGAAAGGGGGAGAGAAAAAGAAAAGGAUGAGAACGAGGAGGGGGGCUGCAUGGAAGGAGAUGGCUUAUAGACAGUUUGGAGGAAGAGGAGGGAGGAGAUCAAUAGAAGAGGAGGAAGAAGGAAGAAGGGAGGAAGAGGAGGAGGAAGGGGAGGCGAUAGAGGAAUGGGUGGAGGUGGAGGAAGCUCCCAUGGAGAAGAAUGGGUGAGGAGGAAAAAGAGGAAGAAAGAGGGAUAUCGCAAUAGAGGAGAAGGGGAUCAAUUAGAGAGGAGAAAGGAGGAAAGAGGGAGGAAGGAGAAGAAAGAGGAGGUGGUGGAGGAAUUGGUGGAGGUGGAGAGAAUCAUCGUGGAAGAAAAAAAAUGGAUGAGGAGGAAGAGAAGAAGGAAGGAGGAGGGAGAAAAGGGACGCUGACAAUAAAGGAUGAGGAGAUCAAUUAGAGAAGAGGGAGGAGGAGGAGGAAUGAGAGGCAGUGGAAAAAUGGGUGAAGGUG
Molecule: long non-coding RNA, 568 nt
Filed under: Elaeis guineensis (African oil palm)
Lineage: Eukaryota; Viridiplantae; Streptophyta; Magnoliopsida; Arecales; Arecaceae
Description: long non-coding RNA (EGUI_LNC005934)
Source: RNAcentral